This is an RNA transcript of Triticum aestivum (bread wheat), 3212 nucleotides long. RefSeq lists it as uncharacterized. The record is from RefSeq and is a predicted model, not a curated record. The transcript has 16 exons. NCBI's taxonomy places the organism in Eukaryota, Viridiplantae, Streptophyta, Magnoliopsida, Poales, Poaceae.
CCCUCCUCCUCCCCAUUUUAAACUCCGACGCCGCCGCACCCCUCCUCCAAAUCUCUCAUCCUCCCUCCGAAUCUCGGCGUCUCCAUCCAUCAGCAAGUGAUCCCGUUCCCACCCAUGGCCCUCCGCGCGCUCGACAACACGCUGCCGGCCGCCGUGGCGGACCAGCGCCCCAAGAAGGCCGCCAAGCUGCUCCCCACGGCGCCCGCCGUCGCCGUCGCCCGCUCCCCCACCGGCAGCGGCGGCAACGGCAGGAAGCAGCAGCAGCGCAACGACGAGAACUCGGCGCCGCUGACCAAGCCCGCGUCGCCUGUGGCGGCGGCCGCGGCGGAGCCGGCCGUGGAGUACGUCCGGUCCGAGGACCUGCUGCCCGUGCCGGCGCCCAAGGCCCGCGCCGCCGGCCUCGUGGCGGGGCUCGACUCCAAGGACUGGGUCAAGGUCUGCGAGGCCCUCAACGACGCCCGCCGCCUCGCCAUCCACCACCCGGCCCUCCUCGCCCCCAUCCUGGAGAAGGUGGUGCUGGGGAUCGUGAAGACGAUGAAGAACCCGCGCAGCGCGGUGCUCAAGACCUCCGUCAUGGCCUGCACGGACGUCUUCACGGGCUUCGGCAACCUCAUCUCCUCGGCCUCCGCGGACGCGUUCGACAAGCUGCUGCUGCAGCUGCUGCUCAAGGCGUCGCAGGACAAGCGGUUCGUGUGCGAGGAGGCCGAGAAGGCGAUGCGCGCCAUGGCCACCUCCAUGCCGCCCCUGCCCCUGUUGAGGAAGCUUAAGUCGUACGUCCACCACGCCAACCUCAGGGUCCGCGCCAAGGCCGCCGUCGCCAUGGCGCACUGCGCAGCCAGGAUGGACGUGGAGACGAUGAAGGAGUUCGGCCUGCCGGCGCUGCUGCAGGUGGCGGUGGAGCUGCUGAACGACCGGCUGCCGGAGGCGCGCGAGGCCGCCCGCAGCAUCGUCGGGUCCACGCACGCCGCCUUCUUCUUCUUCAAGGAGGCCGCCGAGAAGGAGCAGGAGCAGAAGGAGAAUGAGCUCAAGGAGGAGCAGGAAGAGGGGAAGGAGAAUGAGAACGACGAGAAGGUGAAGGAGAGUGAGGAAGAGGAGGAGAAGAAGGAAGAGCCGUCGGCCGUGGCGGCAGCGUGGGAGAGCCUGUGCGCGCUGAGCCUGUCGCCCAUCUCGGCGCAGGCCGUGGCCAAGAUCGUCUCCCAUUUCCCGGAACAAAAAAAAUGUGUCGCUCAGCAAAUCCAGCAGCUUUUCACUGCGUCGCCGGAAAAAACUUUGACCCAAUGUUCCAAGAUAGCGUAGCUUCCGUCGAAAACGACGACGAGGAGGGAUAAGAAGAGCUCCGUGUGCGUCCAAUCUUUCAGCCAGCUCCGAUCCAAACGCGUCGCUGUCCGGUGAGCGAGUGGUGAUCCACGCGAGAGUGACCAGCUGGUGCGGUGCUUGCUUGCUUCCAGGAAUCGGAAUCCUCCUCCUCAUCUUCUUCCUCCCCAUAUCCCCUGUCGCCCUCCGCGUUGGCGACGCACGUCUCCUGCUUUGCGUUGUCCUUGAUGGACGGGGGCCAGAGCGUCGCCAAGCGGCACGGCGCGGCCGCGGCCGCCGGCGCCGAGGAGGACCCUGAGCGGCACCGUGCUCUACAUGAGGCGGCGGAUGAUCACGAUGGUGGCGACAAGAAGGCGCCUCGCCGGAGCAGCAGCAGGCGGGUCGCCUCCCUCGACGUCUUCCGUGGCCUCACCGUCGCUCUGAUGAUACUGGUGGACGGCGCCGGCGGCGAGUGGCCGGUCAUCGGGCACGCGCCGUGGCACGGCUGCAACCUCGCCGACUUCGUCAUGCCCUGCUUCCUCUUCAUCGUUGGCAUGGCCAUCCCCCUAUCCCUCAAGAGGAUCCCAGACCGCAGCCGGGCGAUCAGGAGAGUAGUCAUAAGAACACUGAAGCUGCUUUUCUGGGGGAUCUUGCUGCAAGGUGGCUACUCCCAUGCUCCAGAUGAACUCACCUAUGGUGUUGACAUGAAGCACAUAAGAUGGUGUGGUAUCCUCCAGAGGAUUGCCCUUGCAUACUUGGUGGUUGCAGUUAUGGAGAUCGCAACAAAAGACGCGAGGGUUCAGGAUCAGUCAAGUUCAGGCUUCUUCUCAGUUUUCAGGCUGUACCUUUCCCAAUGGAUUGUCGCAUGUUGCAUUCUCCUGAUCUACUUGUCCCUUGUUUACGGGAUUUACGUUCCGGACUGGGAGUUCACGGUGCGAAAUGUCGACAGCCCAAACUAUGGCAAAGUUUUAACAGUGACCUGUGGCACAAGGGGAAAUCUGAGCCCUCCUUGCAAUGCUGUAGGUUACAUCGACCGUAAAGUUCUCGGCAUCAAUCACCUGUACCAGAAACCUGCAUGGAGGAGGCACAGGGACUGUACUGAUGAUUCCCCACACGAGGGGCCUUUCAAAAGGGACGCCCCGGCCUGGUGUGCCUCGCCAUUUGAACCUGAAGGCUUACUAAGCUCAUUUUCUGCGGUGUUAAGUACGAUCAUCGGCGUACACUACGGGCACGUGCUUGUUCAUAUGAAGAGUCACAUGGACAGGCUAAAGCAGUGGGUCACCAUGGGCAUAGCUCUCCUCCUCCUCGGAAUCAUUCUGCACUUCUCUCAUGCGAUUCCUCUGAACAAACAGCUGUACACGCUCAGUUACAUCUGCGUGACCGCCGGCGCCGCUGGCAUCGUCUUCUCCAUGCUUUACUUCCUUGUCGACGUCGUGAGCCUGCGUUAUGUCUUCGCACCACUGCGGUGGGUCGGCAUGAACGCGAUGCUGGUGUACGUGAUGGCGGCGGCCGGCAUCUUCGAGGGUUUCCUCAACGGCUGGUACUACGACGGGACCAACAACACGCUGGUUUACUGGGUGAGGAAGCACGUGUUCGUCCGGGUGUGGCACUCGGAGAGGGUGGGCAUCCUCCUCUACGUCCUCGUCUCGCAGAUCCUGCUCUGGGCGCUCCUCGCCGGCCUCCUCCACCGGGCCGGGGUCUACUGGAAGCUGUAGCGAGCCAGGAAGACAUCGGUGUCACUGUUUGCUUGUGUGUGUUGGAACUUAGAAUUGUGUAGCAUCUGCGUAAGAAGACAAGAAACGAGAAGAAAAGAUUGAAGGCUCACUGACUGCCCAUUAUGUGGCGAGCAGAUGCAGAGCACACCUACCAGCGGGAGUGGGAGAUCAAAGUCAUCGACUGCCCAUUACUUGCUAUAACAA